CAUGCACAGCGAGAGCGGUCGUGAGUGUGGGGCAGUCUGUACUGAGGCUGGAAUGAGUUGUGUUUGUGCAGCUGCUUGAAGGUGGGAGAACAGAUGUGGAGAUUCUCGACUGUGAUGCAGAAAGGUAUCACCCUCUCCAAUCAAGGCAGCCAGCUUCAGUUCAACUGAGUGCUCCCACCAAGAAGAAAGGGGCUGGACUCUGCUGGGCCACAGACAACACUGCAGGAAGCCUCCAGGGGAGCUGGUAGCGGGCUGUGAGAUCUGCUAUUCAUGUCCUGUGCUCACUAUCCUCAUCCAAGUCCCAGUCCCUGGACCUCUUCUUUUACAGAUACUUUCAACCCUCGGUCAUCUUAUAUGAUCACAGGUUGCUUCUUGAGAAAUGAAGAAAGAAAAAUGAGGAAUACCUGCUUGCUGCAUUUGGAGGCAGUGACUUUCCUGAAUGGGUUAUGCACUUCCGGUCCACAGGUGUUGUGGGUAUAGUAGCCUGAUGAACGUUGGUCUGGGGAGCCACAUGUCCUAUGACCUCAGGCUGAUGGGGGAGAAUGGAGAUGUCCUGAGGAAGAAUUCACAACUCUGCAACUCUCCUGGAAACUAGGGAGACAAAGUUCAAAACCAGGGAGGUAUCUUCAGGCUACGGAUAGCCCAGUGCAGGGCCAGAGUGUUUGGAGGAACAGCAUGAGCCCUGUGUUUUGCCUUUGUAACUUCUGCCUUAAUGUGAACUGAUGAGAAAGAGCUGGUUCCCACUGAGAUGUGGCAAAGUGUGAGAGGCAAAGUAUUAGAGUAUGAGAGGGAGGGGCCACUUCCAGGGACU
Chinchilla lanigera (long-tailed chinchilla) is the source of this 811-nucleotide long non-coding RNA. RefSeq lists it as uncharacterized. NCBI's taxonomy places the organism in Eukaryota, Metazoa, Chordata, Mammalia, Rodentia, Chinchillidae. The record is from RefSeq and is a predicted model, not a curated record. The transcript has 3 exons.